UAUUUUCCUUUUUUUCCCUCCGCCGCGGUAAUACGGAGGAUGCGAGCGUUAUCCGGAUUUAUUGGGUUUAAAGGGUGCGUAGGCGGUUUAUUAAGUUAGUGGUUAAAUAUUUGAGCUAAACUCAAUUGUGCCAUUAAUACUGGUAAACUGGAGUACAGACGAGGUAGGCGGAAUAAGUUAAGUAGCGGUGAAAUGCAUAGAUAUAACUUAGAACUCCGAUAGCGAAGGCAGCUUACCAGACUGUAACUGACGCUGAUGCACGAGAGCGUGGGUAGCGAACAGG
RNAcentral lists this ribosomal RNA (283 nucleotides) under Odoribacter splanchnicus. RNAcentral describes it as "partial 16S ribosomal RNA". It matches the Rfam family "Bacterial small subunit ribosomal RNA", at positions 491 to 776 of the family's 1533-position model. The record is from RNAcentral. Lineage: Bacteria; Pseudomonadati; Bacteroidota; Bacteroidia; Bacteroidales; Odoribacteraceae.